Molecule: long non-coding RNA, 2840 nt
Organism: Ochlerotatus camptorhynchus
Lineage: Eukaryota; Metazoa; Arthropoda; Insecta; Diptera; Culicidae
Exons: 2
Source: RefSeq, a predicted model, not a curated record
CGUCGCAUACGUCUUCCUGUCGUAUCAAUGGUGGUGACCAGCCCUUUGAUAUAAGAUUUCAGUAGAUAUCGUAUGGUUUAUACGCUCUGGUUGUGCAUCCAGACAGAAACUAAUACACCAGCUGAGGUUCACGAGUCGAAGGUAGAUUACUCCGUCAUCGCCUAUAAAAAAUGCUUUAGCUACGAUAAAUCCUGUGUUUUCAUAAGAAUCAAAUCCCUGUUUACGAUAUCUUGACGACUAAUGCGGAUUGAUGGCACAUAGUACCGAUCAAUUUGUUAUCAGAUAUGAGCCGUCCUGCACGUAAUCUCAUACAAUUUUAUCGGUUACUAAAUUUAACAAAUGCAUGAUUUCAACUCAAAUAAAUAAAAUCUCGAGUAGGUAGAUGCGGUUCGCACGACAAGGUACCCGUAGCAUCGGACUAACAAAAACACGAGACGCGCGAAUACAAAUCAAAAUGACCCGUGUGUUGAAGCCUUCAUCUUCAAUAUAUCUAGCCGCUUCAUUUCAUUCGCUGACAACGUAGACAUUGUCGGACGAACGUUUUAGGUAAUGGCAGAGCAAUACACCAGACUGAUAUGUGAAGCAGCAAACCAUAUAAAAAAAAAUCCAUACCCGAAAGAUAGCUCUAAUUGUAGAACAAGUCCAAAAAUGGUUUGGAUGAUACCCAAAACACGUCGUUAAGCAAAAUAACCAUAUAAAUUUUAUUAGGGAAGAUAUGAUCUAUGUUCACCUUUUUCCCUUCCCUUCUCUAAGGAAUAGAAUCCAUGAGGUUCUGACAAUUUAUUUGGGAGCAUCCGGAUCAUGUCUAUUGAUGGUCCAAUGUGCUCCACGACACUCAAUAUGACUUCGAAUGAUCUGCUGAAAGCCCAGGCCUUUUCCCUGGGGAUAUCCGAAUUAUUUUCAGUUAUGGUAAAUGCGGUAAACGACUUCCUAUGUUACUUUUAGUGAUCUGCUUUUUGAAAACCUGGGUCAUUUGAUGUGCCGGAUGGGGGAUUAUGGUUCAGAUUAGGUUCUGGUCUCUUUCCUGGGCUCAUCUGCAACAGGUCCAGUAUUCGCCAUUAGGGUCCACGACACUCAAUAUAGCUUCCAAUGAUUUGCGUUUUGAAAACGUGAUGUGUCACAUGACGCAUUGGGUGCUAAAAUCUAUUUUGUCCUUCUUCAAGCUUGAGCGAGAACACCUGUGAUUUGAAGGAGACUCAUCUAGUAAGUACAAAUUGCAUCCACUUUGGCUGCGAUUUCGCUGAGCUACAAGAAAAUGAAAUUUUGCAAUUUCAGGUAGGGCACGUGGUGCCAAAUAAAAAAGCGUUCAUAUUGCUACAAUGUGGAGUUUCACUUUCAUGUUACUCGAACUCUGAUUUGACUCGGGACUGAUGACAGGCUUCAUUAAAGUUGCGAUGUAUUCUAAAUCGAGCUGAAUUUUUUAAUUGAGGGGGUGAAAGGAAAGGGGUGUAUGUGACUUUGAUCGAUUCUCUUCAUCGACUCACUCUUUCCUUAAUAAUUCAGCUGCAAACACAUUCCUUGAUGCGUGUGCCAUUCUGGAUGCUAGAUGAGAUCCUCCUUUAUCAAACUAUGUGGCAGAUAUAGCGCAAAAUCUGUUCAUAAAGCUGUGGCUAUCAAAAGAGACAGUCGAUGAAAAGAAUCGAUCAAAGUCACUUCCAUCAAAUCCCCUCAGUUGAGUUCCUUGAGGACUAAGGUGCGAUUAAAUUAAAAACAUUCCAAGAAAGAUGCGAUAAAUGGAACGUAAGCUCUGCCGUUCAGUUGGUAAUGUGGAUCAAUCAAUCAAUCAAUAACACUAGGUCCGUUUUUAUCCUUAUGCAAACUUCUCAGGCCCUCUCUGCUUUAUUUCCAAAGUUUAUUUAAAAACCUCAUCUCGACCCAUGACAAAAUAAAAAGAAGAAAAUCACAUCCAAUGUUACUGAAUCGAAUAAACAAAUAAAUAAUUGCAAAAGCAGCAUCAGAAAAAAAAGAAGUUACGCAAAGCGGAAACGAUAAACAAAAUAAAACUAAUGACUCUAUCAAUGACACAUCCAACUAAUCCCAAUUGAUCAAAGAAACAAGAAAACGAAUUGAGUAAAACAAUGAAAUUUAGGCAAGCGAAGAAACGCAAAAAUGGAGGAAAACGAAAGAAAAGCUACUAAAUCGAGCAGACGAAAAAUACUGUGAAGAGAAAUAAAACCAUUUACAAUUAUAUGUGUAAAUAAUGUUAAGUACAUAUUUAAGCUCGCAAGUAUUCGAAUGGCUAUCAUGUGUGUGAGGCCAAGUGGGAGCAAUUAGGUACAGCUCUGGGAUAACAGAUGCAGAUAAGGCUGGUUAAAAAUCACGCCAAGUAAAUGAUGAAUGAGCAGCAGAGUGCAGGCACGAGCAAUGAGAGAAAAUACACAUACACACACACACCCCACAUACAUACACAAACUUAAUAGGUCAAAGUUGAUCGGAACUGGAACAAAACAACAGCGUAGCAUGUUGAAAAUUGAAUGAAAAGCAUAGCAAAAAAGAAAUCAGAAAAUUAUCACAUUUAUAAAUAUUUAAAAACUACAAAAGAAACUACAAAAUUACAACCUAAAGCAUUAAUACAGAAAAAAAGAAGAACACAAAUAAUGCAGAAUGCACUCGUAACGCAGAUGUGAAGCAAACGAAAAAAAAAGAGAAGAGAAAUGAGUCAUUGAGGUUAAAAAAUAAACAUAAAAUGAAAGAAAUCCAUAACAGUAUAUAGAUAAACACAAGAUCGUGAUAGCGUAGAACAUGCUGAACGGCGAAAGAAGAUUAGCUAACUGUACACAGUUAUAAUGCAAAAACAAACUUUUUCCUUUGAUCUAAAAAUAAAAAUUAUAAAUAAUUAA